This 587-nucleotide ribosomal RNA is filed under the name uncultured bacterium. RNAcentral describes it as "partial 16S ribosomal RNA". It matches the Rfam family "Bacterial small subunit ribosomal RNA", at positions 355 to 1375 of the family's 1533-position model. The record is from RNAcentral.
UGGGGAAUUUUGGACAAUGGGCGAAAGCCUGAUCCAGCAAUGCCGCGUGUGUGAAGAAGGCCUUCGGGUUGUAAAGCACUUUUGUCCGGAAAGAAAUCCUUGGCUCUAAUACAGUCGGGGGAUGACGGUACCGGAAGAAUAAGCACCGGCUAACUACGUGCCAGCAGCCGCGGUAAUACGUAGGGUGCAAGCGUUAAUCGGAAUUACUGGGCGUAAAGCGUGCGCAGGCGGUUUGCUAAGACCGAUGUGAAAUCCCCGGGCUCAACCUGGGAACUGCAUUGGUGACUGGCAGGCUAGAGUAUGGCAGAGGGGGGUAGAAUUCCACGUGUAGCAGUGAAAUGCGUAGAGAUGUGGAGGAAUACCGAUGGCGAAGGCAGCCCCCUGGGCCAAAUACUGACGCUCAUGCACGAAAGCGUGGGGAGCAAACAGGAUUAGAUACCCUGGUAGUCCACGCCCUAAACGAUGUCAACUAGUUGUUGGGGAUUCAUUUCCUUAGUAACGUAGCUAACGCGUGAAGUUGACCGCCUGGGGAGUACGGUCGCAAAGAUUAAAACUCAAAGGAAUUGACGGGGUCAUAGCUGUUUCCU